RNAcentral lists this ribosomal RNA (208 nucleotides) under Triticum aestivum (bread wheat). RNAcentral's name for it is "partial small subunit ribosomal RNA". The record is from RNAcentral. Lineage: Eukaryota; Viridiplantae; Streptophyta; Magnoliopsida; Poales; Poaceae.
GAUGCCCAAGGCACCCCAAGGUAAAAUUCAAGGACAAACAAAAGCCUAAGCUUGGGGAUGCCCCAGAAGGCAUCCCCUCUUUCGUCUUCGUCUAUCGGUAACUUUACUUGAGACUAUAUUUUUAUUCACCACAUGAUAUGUGUUUUGCUUGGAGCGUCUUGUAUGAUUUGAGUCUUUGCUUUUUAGUUUACCACAAUCAUCCUUGCUG